UCGGCCAGCCACAGCUCCAAGAAUAUGCGGAGAAGGUGGCCCGGGUCGGCGUCGGCGCCGUCCGGCGCGGGCCAAGGGCCCGUUUCCAAGUGCGUCUGCACGCCGGCUACCCACGCCGGGUCCUUCAAGUGCCGCUUCCACCGCACCAACUCCCAGGGCCAGGGAAGCCGCUCUUCUUCGCCCCCUUCACCAGCCGCGGCCAACACGGUGCCGCGGCACCCGGCCUCGCCGUCCUCGUCCGCCGGCACCGUCGCGACCCAGUGA
This 264-nucleotide ribosomal RNA is filed under the name Triticum aestivum (bread wheat). RNAcentral describes it as "partial small subunit ribosomal RNA". Lineage: Eukaryota; Viridiplantae; Streptophyta; Magnoliopsida; Poales; Poaceae. The record is from RNAcentral.